This 497-nucleotide ribosomal RNA is filed under the name uncultured bacterium. RNAcentral's name for it is "partial 16S ribosomal RNA". It matches the Rfam family "Bacterial small subunit ribosomal RNA", at positions 28 to 507 of the family's 1533-position model. The record is from RNAcentral.
GAUGAACGCUGGCGGCGUGCCUAAUACAUGCAAGUCGAGCGAACGGACGAGAAGCUUGCUUCUCUGAUGUUAGCGGCGGACGGGUGAGUAACACGUGGAUAACCUACCUAUAAGACUGGGAUAACUUCGGGAAGCCGUAGCUAAUACCGGAUAAUAUUUUGAACCGCAUGGUUCAAAAGUGAAAGACGGUCUUGCUGUCACUUAUAGAUGGAUCCGCGCUGCAUUAGCUAGUUGGUAAGGUAACGGCUUACCAAGGCAACGAUGCAUAGCCGACCUGAGAGGGUGAUCGGCCACACUGGAACUGAGACACGGUCCAGACUCCUACGGGAGGCAGCAGUAGGGAAUCUUCCGCAAUGGGCGAAAGCCUGACGGAGCAACGCCGCGUGAGUGAUGAAGGUCUUCGGAUCGUAAAACUCUGUUAUUAGGGAAGAACAUAUGUGUAAGUAGCUGUGCACAUCUUGACGGUACCUAAUCAGAAAGCCACGGCUAACUACGUG